RNAcentral lists this transfer-messenger RNA (365 nucleotides) under Deltaproteobacteria bacterium. It matches the Rfam family "transfer-messenger RNA". From Rfam's summary of the family: Bacterial tmRNA, also known as 10Sa RNA or SsrA, is named for its dual tRNA and mRNA-like properties. The record is from RNAcentral. RNAcentral also lists the same sequence under 1 other name. Lineage: Bacteria; Pseudomonadati; Myxococcota; Myxococcia.
GGGGGCGACCUGGUUUCGACGAGGGAAGGAAGCGCCGGACAGCACGCCGCGGAUCUCGAUCCCCGCGUCAAAACGAUCGGGAACACAAGAAAAGCCAACGACAACGUUGAGCUCGCUCUCGCUGCCUGAAGAAGGUUAGCGAAGCGCACCGGCCCCAGGUCUGCUCCUGCGAGGGGAUCCCGGUGAACCCGAUGGAGCUGGUUUGCGCCUGACCCAGCCCGAGGCGUGAACGAGACACAGGGCGGGGACUCGACGACGGAGUGUGUCCGUGGACGCCGUCGCCGAGUACAAAGCACGGACUAAGCGUGUAGCGGUACGUCGUGGACAUCUUUCGGACGUGGGUUCGAUCCCCACCGCCUCCACCA